AGAUGAUCGGCUUUGGUGUUUCAGUAGAGACAGACUGUGAGAGCGAAGAGUGGAGAGGAAUAACAGAGACCACAGUGUUGACGACGAUAUCAACUGUUGAAGCUUCAACGUGCUAGACGGAAGGAGGAUGACCCGGAUGAGGAUAUGGAUGCCAAAAUCAACUGGGGUUUAGCGCAGGCCUUCAAUUUGAAGCUUGAUUGCAGUGAGAUUGGGGAUGACAGGCCCCUUGUUCGCCGCAACCUCUAAAUCGCACUUCGCUCCGGUGCUUCGCUGCUACUUCCCGUGGCUUCGAGAAAGUCCCGGUUCAGAAUCCGAUCGUCGAAAUGGACGGUCAUGAAAUGACGAGGAUCAUAUGCAGAGCAAUCAAAGAGAAACUUAUUUAUUUUCCCCUAUGUGGAUUUGGACACCAUAAUUAUGGUGAUUGAGAACCGUGAUGCUACAGAUGAUGAAGCCACUCUUAAGUAAGUGGUUUGAUUUAAAGUGUAUUGAUUGCACUUCCUUGAAAAGAAAGGAAAAUGGCGUGUUUAGAGCAGGCCUUCAAUUUGAACCAGAUUCUCACAAGAUGGCAAAUUGCUUACCACCUCGAGGUGAAAAGGGCUCUUUUGUAGUCAGGAUGAUCUCCCACAACUCUUCCGCCAAGACACUGAUUUUGUUGUUUUUCGAAGACUGAUGCGGGAAUGAUGCUCAGGUAUCUUGACCAAGCAACUAAUUUUUUUGGUUCCUGGAAAAUGCUUUGAGGAGACUUACAUCUUACAACCUGGAAUAUGGGCUUUCGAACAUCAAGCCUGAGGGUUGCUCAGGAGUCAUUCGCAGAAGACUCAUUGAGGCAGCCAAAAUGAGAGCUGGAAGUUACAGUGGAGGAAUAAACAUGACUUAAAUGUGGCAAUACCUCUUACCUGAUAAUAGAAUUUUUAUCACCUGAAGCUUUAUAACAUCGGAUUCCAGUGGGUUUGGACAAGGAACUGAUCUUUGGUAUGGCAGAAAAGGAGAUGGACUACAGGGUUGUCAACAAAAAAGAAACCCCUCAUGAUUCUUAUAAUUUGGACAAAUCAUAAGCAUCAGUUCAAGGGAAGUAGCGCAAGGUGGAGAGAUUUCUCCUGAGAUCGGGAAGAUGGGCAGCUUGGAAGGCUCUGGAGGAGAGAGUCCGAACCAGCUAUUUGCACCUCUUUGUUCCGAUCUGUUUUGGUUUUUUGAUCAACAGAGACAGAGACAGAGGGAGCUGGGUAGAAGAAGAAGAAGAGAUUACGAAUUGCAUUUUCAGAGCUCUUUUGCCCGUUCUCCUAUCAGGUAUUUCAGUCUGUUGCCCUUGCCACCUGUUCAUCUGCCGAGCCAAUUCCGUUUCUCGCGCAUCUUCCUCAGAGCCAUUUCUCAGCUGUCUAUUCAUUUUUAAAAUCGCAACUGAGGCGAGUAGAACAAAGAAGAACAAGAAUAAAGGAGCUUGAAAUUUUUCACUGAUUGAUAAGGUUGGUAAUUCAAUUCCAUUUGUUUCCCAUAAUUUGAAAGCUUAGUUUAAUUUUGUGGAUAGAACAAAGUGAUAAUUGUCCGUGUGCCUGUUUUAUUCAUCUAGAGUUUGACGAAUCGGAAGAGCCAGAGUGAUCUGAUUGCCAAUAUACGAAAUUAACAAUGAAGUUUUGUUAUUAUCUAAUGUAGUCAUCAGUGAUAGUCUCUUAGUCAUCUUUUCAAACUCUAUUAUCGAAUGAAUAUAUGCUGGAUUGAUGGAGGAGGAGAAAGCAAUGUCCACAGAUUGAGUUUAAGGUGAUAUUAGGCAUCUGGGGUUUUGUUCUUUGGUGGUUUGCAAAUUUGGUUAUUGGGUUUUGAUAUUGAUAGUUUAUGCAUGGAGAUUUACAGAAUUGGAACUGGGUUUCUUUAUUUGUAUUCGUUCAUGUAUUGCAUGCAUUCCCGAACACCCCCCCCCCCACACACAACAAAAAUGAAAUCUGAAAUAGGCACUCUAAAGCCCUUGAAAAAAAAAAAUUACAUAAAAUGAAAUUAACUUCAAACAUUUUAAUCCAAGCUUGCAGGCUAAGAAAAGUCCAGCCAUCCACUUAGUUAUACAUUUAUAGUUUGACUCCUGCAUGCCAGUUCUGAAAAAGCCCCAUUUAGUAAUCUAAUUCUAAGAUUAUUCUUAUAUGUUCUGAUAACUGGUCUAAAAGCACCAUUUACGGAUGGAUUGCGCAAGCAUGUUGCUUAAGAUUUGUAAAGUUGGCAAAGGUAAAGUAGGGGGAUCUCUUUGUUGCUCUUAGUUUGUAUCUGUGCAUGUUUAGCUCAUGGGAUCCAUAUAUUCUGCUGCAAGAGGCUUUGAGGAAUCCGGCUUCUUGAAUGAGGUGGCAGGGGUGGUUAGUACCGUUAAGUAAUUAGGAGUUGCUCUUUUUGUUUGCAUAGCUUCCAGCUCCCGCAACGAUGAUACCCCCAAUACUAAGCAUUGGGAGAAAGCCUUUCACGGUCUUGCUCCAAGUGAAUACGAGUGGAGAAUAAUGUUUUGAACAAAUAUACCUUAUAAGGAAACUAAUCCUUGGAGAACCAUUCAUGGUUUGUAUAUUUAGGCGACCACCGUUUGCUGCAGCCAAAUCAAGAAGCUUCUGGUGCUGCUUCUAUGGCUUGGAUGAUGGCUCACCCGCUUGAGGAGUUCUUUGAAGCAGAUAGGAAGACUGAUGACGAAAUGCCAUGGUUGUAUAUGGUACAUGCUUUUUGUUUCCAUUGUUUUCUAUUGUUCAGUGCAUUUAUGAAUUGGGAGAAUUGGAUUGUAUACUUGGCGAGUAUCAAUUGAAGAAACUUAUUGCAAGGCAGAGGUUAAUUUGUUUUACUUUUCA
Rosa chinensis is the source of this 2810-nucleotide long non-coding RNA. RefSeq lists it as uncharacterized. The record is from RefSeq and is a predicted model, not a curated record. Lineage: Eukaryota; Viridiplantae; Streptophyta; Magnoliopsida; Rosales; Rosaceae. The transcript is spliced from 13 exons.